AUGAACGGCUGCGUGGGUGGCCCAACCCUGAUCCAGGGUCACCCUACCGUUCAUCAGCUUGACCGUCACCUUCCAGGAGCAGUCGGUGUUGUUCCUGAGCUUGAACUCCGUUGGUACCACGACGAAGUGCUUGGUGAAGUCCAGGGGCAUGGGAUGCACUCAAGCUUCGGUGCAAGGAUGACCUUGCAGAACUCCAGCUCCAACGCCAACCCCUUCCCUUGGGGUAUUGUCUGGAGGGCAUUCUUCCUCGGGUGGUCGGCUGGUGACCGCACCAAGUUCGAGAGCACCAUGGAGGUGUGA
This 300-nucleotide ribosomal RNA is filed under the name Triticum aestivum (bread wheat). Its description in RNAcentral is "partial small subunit ribosomal RNA". Lineage: Eukaryota; Viridiplantae; Streptophyta; Magnoliopsida; Poales; Poaceae. The record is from RNAcentral.